CUCUUCAAUAUUGAAAUAUACUUGGAAAAGAAUGGAAAGCAGAAAGAAUUCAAUUCAACAUAUAACAUGGGUACUUUGUAUUUAAAAUUGAAUACUACAGAGAAAAGAAAGUAAUCAUGGUUUUAAAAUAAGUAACUUUUAAAGAAACGUAAUUUUAAUCUUUAAACAUAAUUAAAUGCCUUUCUUUCUUCACAUAUGGCUAAAUACUGUUAUAAGAAAAUUUUAGAAAAGACAGUCUUAAAAACAUUAUAUUGUAAUUUGUUUAAGGCAGUAAAUUUCAUAAAAUAAAAUAAUUACAACGGUGGAAAACCACUAAAUUUAGUGGCUCUUCAUCCACUAAAAUUAAUUGACCAUAAAUUAGUUAGCAGUCGGGCUUUGAAGUGGGAUGGAACUAAGGUGCAGGUCUACAUUAUUUUAAUGAACAAUGAUGUGUGAAACGAAUCAUAGCCUUGUCAACAAGAUAAUGGUGAAUUAUAGCCUACUCGUGGAGGCUAUAUGACAAGCACAUGGAGUAGUUUGUAAAAGAUGCCGAUUGAGGUUUGUAUUUGAAACCGGAAAAACUAAAGGAAGCUCAUAGCUUUCAGGACAUGCCCAUGCAAUAAAUACACUACACACCGCAUCCCUGUUCUGAAGAUUUUGGAUUAAGUAGAACAUUUGAUUGGUUUUCUAUUGCUGCUGUAACAAAUUUACCACAAAUUCAGCAACUUAAGUCAAUGCAAGUUUAUUUCCUUACAGUUCUGUAGGUCAGAAGUUUGACAUAGGUCUCAUCAGACUAAAAUCAAGGUGUAGGUAAGGCCGCAUCCCUUUCUGGGGUCUCUAGGGGAAAAUUCAUUUCUCUUUAUGUGGGUUGUUGACAAAAUUGAGUUUCUUGCGGUCGCAGGUCUGAGAUCAGUUUGUCCUUGCUGACUCUCAGCUGAGGACUGUUUCUGGCUUCUAGAGGCUCCUUGUGUCCCUUGAUUCAUGGCUACUUUCCUUCAUCUUCAAAGCCAGUAACAAUUCGUUAAGACCCUCUCAUCCUUCAAAUCUCUUCUUCUCUUUCUCCUUCUCCUUCCCUUCUCAGUCUCCUUUCUUCUCUUCCUCCUUCUUGUAUCAUCUCUCUGACCUGACCAGGACAGAUUCUCUGCUUUAGGGUCUCAUGUACAGGUGUAUCUGGUUUUAUUGCUCUUUGCUUUAUUGAACUUCACAGAUACUGUAUUUUUUUUAAGAUUGAAAGUUUGUGGCAACUCUGCAUGGAACAAGUCUAUCAGUGCUAUUUCUCCAACAGCAUGGGCUCACUUUGUGUCUCUGUGUCAGACGAUUGUUAGCAUAUUUUAGAAAUAAAAUAUUUUUAAGUUCAGGUAUGCACAUUUUUGAAACAUAAUACUAUUGCACGCUUAAUAGGCUUCAGUAUAGUGUAAACGUACAUUUUAUGCACUGGAAAACCAAAAUGUAUGUGUUACUUACUUUGUUCAUUUUAUUACAGUGGUCUGGAACCCAACCCCCAAUACUUCCGAGGUAUCCAAUACUUCCAAGGUAUGCCUUGAAUUAGAUUGAGCCAACCAGAAUAAUCUUCCCAGUUCUACAGGCUAGACAUGCAAGAUCAAAGUGUCAGCGAGUUUGAUUUGUUCUGAGGACUCUCCCCUUGGUUUCCAGAUGAUUGCAUUACUGCUGUGUCCUUACAUGAUGGAGUCUCACUCAUUGCCCAGGCUGGAAUGCAGUGGUGCCAUCCCAGCUCACUGCAACUUCCACCUCAUGGAUUCAAGCAAUUCUUCUGCCUCAGCCUCCCAAAUAGCUGGGAUUACAGGCACCUGCCACCACACCUGGCAAAUUUUGGUGUUUUAAGUAGAGACAGAGUUUCACCAUCUUGGCCAGGCUGAUCUGGAACUCCUGGACUCAAGUGAUCCACCCGCCUCAGCCUCCUGAAGUGCUGGUUUUACAGACAAGGUCUUGCUCGAUAACCUAGGUUGGAGUGCACUGGCCUGAGCACAGCUUUCCACAGCCUCAACCUCCUGGGCUCAAGAGAUCCUUCCAUCUCAGCCUCCCGAGUAGCUAGGUCUACAGGUACGUACCAACACGCCCAGCUAAUUUAUUUUAUCUUUUAUGUAUUUAUGAAGAUGGGAUCUCACUAUGUUGCCCAGGCUGAUCUCAAACUCCUGGCCUCAAGCAACCCUCCUGGGUCAGCUUCCCAGAAUGUUAAGAUUACAGGCAUGAGCCUCUGCAUCUGGCCAAAAUGACUUCCUGUACUCAUAAUUUUUAAACAUUCUUACUGAGAGAUACUUC
RNAcentral lists this long non-coding RNA (2259 nucleotides) under Homo sapiens (human). RNAcentral's name for it is "HSALNT0271693". Lineage: Eukaryota; Metazoa; Chordata; Mammalia; Primates; Hominidae. The record is from RNAcentral.